CCCAGCCCAUAAUUCUUUUAACCUAAUUGCCAUCCCAAAUAUUCAGUAAAAUGUCUCCUUCAUCUCUUGACCCAUUUUAGCUAAGCUUCAGUACCCUACAUCAAUGGCAGUCGCCUGCCCCCUCCGUUUUCGUAAAUGUCUUCAGAUCUUGGCGUGUUUACUGACACAGGGACGACUCUUUUCAGCAUGUUUGACCAAGAUUUGAAACGUUGGGCUCUUUUGAAGCAAUGAGACAAGAGUGAAAUCUUCUACUUUUUCAAUUUAGCUCUCCUCCUCACCAUUUUCGGAAAAGUUCUCUGCUCACUUCACUCUCUUUCGUCCCUUCUAUCACUGCCAGAGAUCUCGACAAAGGACGAUUCUCUGAAAUGGUACACCCGUGAAGUCUCAAUCGUUUGAAUUAAAAAACGAUUUUUGUGUGAAUCCCACCAAAAAUGUUAGCCUAAAAAAACCUUAGUUCAUCACUAUAAAUACUAGUUUUGUUGCUCAUUUUGGAGGACGUUUUUUUUAGGGGCAGCCAUUUUCUUACUCUAAUACUCAUAGUUCUACCCUCCAAAAGAUUUCCCUUAAGGAAAUCGAGUUGCUUCUAGCUUUUGUUGGUUGCUUAAUCAAAACAGAGGCAUCUUACCUUCGCUCGAGUCAAGGUCGUAGACGGUGUGACCCGAGAUCUACGCCCCUGUUCGCUGCGCUCAAAAAAGCAAAUGGAGUCUUAAAUCGGGACUCGCUCAAAACGGAGUUUCAAAAUGAGACUCGGUGCUAUUACCAUACUCGUGCAUGGCGUCAAUACAUCUCAUAUUCUUGAACUCGCAAGGAACGAGCGAAAUUGCUUGGGACCGCUUAUGGCAUCUUUAUUCUUUUCAUUUUAUCUCACCUUUCCUUAGGAUUGCUAAUUCAUUCGUGCUUUGGAUAUGUCCCUGUUUCGAAUGGUGUGGGGGACUUAUGAUUUAUAGGAAAUAGUUUUAUCAUUUAGGAUUACUGCUCUAAAUAUUAAGUAUUUAUAUCACAAUAUAGAAUGCAAAACCUGUCUUCAUAAUCUAAAGUAAAGAUAGUUUAUUGGGAUAGUUAUUCA
This is a long non-coding RNA of Lycium barbarum (goji berry), 1066 nucleotides long. RefSeq lists it as uncharacterized. The record is from RefSeq and is a predicted model, not a curated record. The transcript is spliced from 2 exons. Lineage: Eukaryota; Viridiplantae; Streptophyta; Magnoliopsida; Solanales; Solanaceae.